UAGCCAUUGACCUGAAAAAUGAACAAAAAAAGUGGUGCUUGAGUCAUUAGUAUUGUUUAGGAGGCGAUCGAUGAUGCGAACCAGAAAUAAGCUGCAAACAAUGCAGUAUGGAAGUGUACUUUUAUCCGGAAUCAUGCAGAGAAAUAUUUCUUCACCUCUAGAAGCUCAUCGCCUGAGCGCAAUAUGCCAUUUUGGCCUACCGGCCCCUCGGGUAGAAUGGAGCGGAUAUAAUGAUGAGGUCUAACUUCUUGUCCGUUUUCAACGUCCACUGUCCCUUCUAAGCUAAUACCGAGUCCACUACCUUCGGCGAAUUUAUUAAGUUGCGCUACCUGUGAGAGAAAAUAAAAAAUCAAGCACAAUAUUACAAUAAUGAGACUAAUAAAUUUAUGAUGUACUGCUCAAA
Venturia canescens is the source of this 403-nucleotide long non-coding RNA. RefSeq lists it as uncharacterized. The transcript is spliced from 2 exons. Lineage: Eukaryota; Metazoa; Arthropoda; Insecta; Hymenoptera; Ichneumonidae. The record is from RefSeq and is a predicted model, not a curated record.